This 430-nucleotide ribosomal RNA is filed under the name Acidobacteriota bacterium. Its description in RNAcentral is "Acidobacteria bacterium partial 16S ribosomal RNA". It matches the Rfam family "Bacterial small subunit ribosomal RNA", at positions 355 to 776 of the family's 1533-position model. Lineage: Bacteria; Pseudomonadati; Acidobacteriota. The record is from RNAcentral.
UGGGGAAUAUUGGACAAUGGGCGGAAGCCUGAUCCAGCCAUGCCGCGUGUGUGAAUAAGGCCUUUUGGUUGUAAAUCACUUUAAGCGAGGAGGAGGCUACUUGGAUUAAUACUCUAGGAUAGUGGACGUUAUUCGCAGAAUAAGCACCGGCUAACUCUGUGCCAUCAGCGGCGGUAAUACAGAGUGUGCGAGCGUUCAUCGGAUUUACUGGGCGUAAAGCGUGCGUAGGCGGCUUCUUAAGUCGGUUGUGAAAUCCCUGAGCUUAACUGAGGGAAUGCAUUCGAUACUGGGAAGCUAGAGUAUGGGAGAGGAUGGUAGAAAUCCAGGUGUAGCGGUGAAAUGCGUAGAGAUCUGGAGGAAUACCGAUGGCGAAGGCAGACAUCUGGCCUAAUAAUGACGCUGAGGUACGAAAGCAUGGGGAGCAAACAGG